UACGUCGGGUGCGAGCGUUAAUCGGAAUUACUGGGCGUAAAGCGUGCGCAGGCGGUUUUGUAAGCCAGAUGUGAAAGCCCCGGGCUCAACCUGGGAAUGGCAUUUGGGACUGCAAGGCUUGAGUGCGGCAGAGGAGACUGGAAUUCCUGGUGUAGCAGUGAAAUGCGUAGAUAUCAGGAGGAAUACCGAUGGCGAAGGCAGGUCUCUGGGCUGACACUGACGCUCAUGCACGAAAGCGUGGGGAGCAAACAGG
This 253-nucleotide ribosomal RNA is filed under the name uncultured bacterium. Its description in RNAcentral is "partial 16S ribosomal RNA". It matches the Rfam family "Bacterial small subunit ribosomal RNA", at positions 524 to 776 of the family's 1533-position model. The record is from RNAcentral.